GGGUCACGACCAACGCUGGCGGCGUGGAUUAGGCAUGCGAGUCUAACGCGAACGAUAGACUUCGGUUUAUUUAUUAGAGUGGCGGACGGGUGAGUAACGCGUAGAUGAUCUACCUUUAAGUGGGGGACAGCCCCGGAAAACCGGGAUUAAUACCGCAUAUCGAGCUACCAAUUAUGUAUUCCAACUAUAUUAUAAUUCAUAUUUCAAUUAUUGAAUAAUAUUUAUGAGAUAUUGUAAGAAUGCAUAAUUGGUAGUUUGAAAGACGACCUCUGUUUCAAGUUGUCGCUUAGAGAUGAGUCUGCGUCCUAUUAGCUAGUUGGUGAGGUAACGGCUCACCAAGGCGAUGAUUGGUAGGCGGCUUUAACGAGUGGUCGCCCACACUGGGAUUGAGAUACGGCCCAGACUCCUACGGGAGGCAGCAGUCGAGAAUAGUCUACAAUGGGGGCAACCCUGAUAGUGCGACGCCGCGUGAACGAAGAAGCAUUUCGGUGUGUAAAGUUCUUUUCUUUGUGAGCAAUGGUUUACAGAUUAAUAGUUUGUAGAUAGAGAUAUUAGCAGAGGAAUCAGCUCCGGCUAACUCCGUGCCAGCAGCCGCGGUAAUACGGGGGGAGCGAGCGUUGUUCGGAAUUACUAGGCGUNAAGGGCAAGUAGGCGGAUAAAUCAGUCAGGUGUUAAAGGCAUCAGCUCAACUGGUGUACGGCAUUGGAUACUGUUAUUUAGAGUAAGUUUGGGGAAGACGGAAUCCUGGUGUAGCGGUGGAAUGCGCAGAUAUCAGGAGGACACGGGUGGCGANGGGCGUCUUCUAAGCCAUUACUGACGCUCAAUGCGAAAGGUGUGGGUAUCGAACAGGAUNAGAUANCCUGGUAGUCCACACAGUAAACGAUGUGCACUAGAUGUUGGGGGAGAAAAUCUUUCAGUGUCGUAGUUAACGCGUUAAGUGCAUCGCNUGGGGAGUACGGUCGCAAGAUUAAAACUCAAAGGAAUUGACGGGGGCCCGCACAAGCGGUGGAGCAUGUGGUUUAAUUCGAUGCAACGCGAAGAACCUUACCUGGGCUUGACAUCCCGGAACAUCUGUAGAGAUACGGACUUGCCCCUUCGGGGGAAUCCGGAGACAGGUGCUGCAUGGCUGUCGUCAGCUCGUGUCGUGAGAUGUUGGGUUAAGUCCCGCAACGAGCGCAACCCCUAUCUUUAGUUGCUAACAGGUCAAGCUGAGGACUCUAGAGAGACUGCCAGUGUAAUAAACUGGAGGAAGGUGGGGACGACGUCAAGUCAUCAUGGUCCUUAUGUCCAGGGCUACACACGUGCUACAAUGGCUGGUACAGAGGGUCGCAAAACAGUGAUGUGGAGCUAAUCUCAGAAAGCCGGUCUCAGUUCGGAUUGGAGUCUGCAAUUCGACUCCAUGAAGUUGGAAUCGCUAGUAAUCGCGUGUCAGCGUAACGCGGUGAAUACGUUCCUCGGCAUAGUACACACCGCCCGUCAAGUCCGCGGAGUUGAUUGCACUCGAAGGAGGUGAGCUCUCCGUAAGGGAGCAGCUUUUUAAGCUGUGAAUGAUAAGCGGGACUAAGUCGUAACAAGGUAACCA
This 1582-nucleotide ribosomal RNA is filed under the name uncultured bacterium. RNAcentral's name for it is "bacterial SSU rRNA". It matches the Rfam family "Bacterial small subunit ribosomal RNA". The record is from RNAcentral.